AAGUAAAGAUAGAAUAUGAAGAUCCUAUUUAUCAUUGUUUGUCCUCCUUUUCCUCUAUUUGAAUCCUAUUUCUCCUUCUUAACGACGGCGGCGGCCCAAUGUCAUGGUGUUUUGGAUCAAAUUGUGGGUGUUAUGAGAAUGCGGUGGUGUUGUUGGAUUGCUACAAUGGUGGUCCGAUGAGGUUGAUUGUCAUGGAGUGGCAGGGGCAAUGGACUGGGCAGAGUUUGCAAAUCUUGGAGUACUGUGUGAAGUGGAGAACCUACACUCCUCCCCAUUGAAGUACCACUCAAAAUCUUGAUAUCCUUUGCACUCGGGUAUGGAGAUUCUAGCUGGCAUUGGACAUGGAAGAGGUGACGAGAUAGCCUGGUAAGGAAGUUCUUCACCGCAUUCCGAUGAGGCAACGUUGAUUCUACGAGACCUUGAUCUUGGCUUGUAGGUGUCAAUUUCAACUAUCUUAGGGCUUUCAUCAAAUGCAGUCAUGUCACAAGAUGUAGAUAGCCUCUUGCUGUGAAAUUCACUUCUAGUAUCAUCAAACCUCUCCUGGAACCCAAGAAAAAAAAUGUCGGUUUUUUUUUGUCAAAAUAAGAAGAGGGACAGCA
Populus trichocarpa (black cottonwood) is the source of this 599-nucleotide long non-coding RNA. RefSeq lists it as uncharacterized. The transcript has 2 exons. Lineage: Eukaryota; Viridiplantae; Streptophyta; Magnoliopsida; Malpighiales; Salicaceae. The record is from RefSeq and is a predicted model, not a curated record.